UCCACGCCCCCCCCAAAACCAAACUGUGCUCUAGGCUAUAUGUUCUUCCUCAGACUGUGCCUCUAAAGCCCCUUGACUGUUGCUGCUGUUUGUUCUGCCUCCUGGUGACACAGUCCGCGAGGCCUGCUACAAGCCUCUUUUCCCUACAAAGCAUCCCCUGGGCACUGGCAUUCCUCACUCUGUAACCAGGAUUCUGUUUGGGGAAGAGGAUCACUCUUACGGUAUGGAGAUGAAAAAGCCGUUCAUGGUCUAUGCACCUUAAGAUCUGGCUUUCCCCCAUUUCUUCACAGUGAGGACAGAUCUUAAUUUAACACGCAAACAAGACAAUUGAGUCCCAGAAAAAGCCACAACUCUCUCAAGGUCCAUGGACGGUCGUUAACAAAGUUCUCACUGCUCUUGAUGACAGGUUCUGGGCCGCUUCUGUCUGCGUCUUCUUCCGUAUGCUCACGUACAUUAACAGAAGCUGCUCGGAACAAUGUGGCAUCAAUAUUGGGUAUUUAUUGCCCAGCUCUCAUCUUCUAGCUGUGGCUCAAACCAGGGAUUCUGAAUCAGCACUCACUAUGAUUCCUCGGCUGUGGAGACUACUUCCUAGGAAUGUCACCCCUUCCCUGGCUACGUCCUCAGCCAACCAGAGAGCCGAGGAUCGCCAUCGGCAGCUGGAGGCCUAUGGGGACUUCUUGCCCAUUCAGAGCAGGUGACAGGACAAUGACCAGAAUGGCCACGUGAACAAUUCUGUGUACUACAGCUUCUUCGACACUCUCCUCGGCAGCUACCUGACCAGAUGCUGAUGAAGAGCGGGGAACAGCUGUCAGAGAUCGGGCCCUGCUUACCACAGCGGAGGAACUUAUCCUGAAGUGUGUUCAGGGCCAAACGGUGGAGGAGGCGUGCCAGGCUAGAACUGGGGACUGGCCAGUGAGGGGAGACAGGUGGUGUACAACCCUGUGGGUGAACUGUGAGGUGACACCCGCUUCUUCCACCGGUGCCUGGGGGACAGGGGCUCAGUUGUUAGAGACUCCGGACCUUGUUGGCGAUGGUUUUACUGUCCUGAGGACCGACCACACGAGUUAAGUGUGGGUGAUCCCUCAAGGGGGCAUUUGACAAUAUGCAUAUACUUGGUAUUUGUUGACUGUUCACCCUAAAACACAGUCACUUGUGAGUUGGGUGGGGUGAUGAAGUGCUUGCAGGGCAAGCAAGCUCAAGGACUAGGAGCUGAAAUACUUAAAAGCCCAGCAAGGCUGACAGCUUCCCCUGCCAGAAUCUAGCCAUCCCUGAGCUCCAGGUUCAGUGAGAGACACUGCAUCAAAAGAUAAGAUGGAGAGUGAUGGGGAAGAGCUGAGGUUGACCUCUGACCUCCACACGUGUGUACACACACACACACACACACAGAGAGAGAAAGAGAGAGAUCAUUUGCAUUUUCUCCACUUCUAUCUUAUCCUUGACAGUCAAAUCUGAAGCAAUUUAAAUGGAACAUUUGAAGCUAACAACUUGACUGUUAGGAAGUCCCCCAAAACCAGCCAGGAGACCAAGUUCUGUAUGUAAAAGCAAAGAGCAUUUAUUUUUUUUUCUUGCUACUUUAUGCCAGUUUCCUGGUUUCUUGAUCCUUGUUCCAGAAACUUCUAUUGUUUACAAAGCUGAUUCUAACCUAACAGUACAAUUUUUUUUUCUUUUUUUUUUCCUUUCUUUCUUUCAAGAGCAUUUAUUUUAUGCAAGUUUGCAAACUCAGUCUCUCCGCAUGCCCAACAUAUUGGAAUAAACAGCGAGCCCCGAGCUCAGUUAGAGUUGGUUUUUUUUUUUAAUAGUAGUAAAGGUGGGGGUGAGGGGUUUCUGAGGUUCAGGGCCUCUGAUUGGCUGACAUUUGUGUAGGGAUGUCCUGGUGAGUGUGUGCCGGCAGGUGAUCCUAUCUACAACUCAGAGUCCUACUCUGGCAGGUGGUAAUGGUUGGAAGUAAAGAACUUCCUUUGGGUGGUCUGUUUCUACUUAGCUCCUACAUUGACAUUGUCAAUUUGUUUUCUAAACUCUGUUUAAGCUUUGCCCUUUAGCCUAUGGUGUUAUUAGAACUGAGGCUGAAAUGUACUUGUGCAUUAGUUACUCUUAGACAGUUUCAUCAAACCGUCCGAGAGUGUGAGUAUGGGCAGGGAAGCCGGGAAGCCCCUGAGCUUCAAUGCUCUUGGUUUUGGAGUCUUCUCUAGUAGUUGUAUGUCAGCCCCAGCUGAGGCAACCCAUCUCUUCCUAAGAGACCCUUACAGCAGGGUCCCCUAGGGCGUCUCCAUCUCUGGGAGCUGCACCAUGAGAGUUAGACAGGAAUUGGUGAGGUGUGUGAGGAUGAGGCAGAGUGAAGUGGACCAAGCUAACAAGGAGUUAGACCCUUAAGAGUUAGACUCUCAUUGCUGAGAUGAGGUUAGACCACUAGCCCAGGUGGACUAGGUCAGGAAUAGGAGACUUUUUUAAUAGGUGGCCUCUCAUCUUAAAAGGGGGGGGAGAAGGGAGAAUAGGAGACAAUAAAGGAGAAGAACACAUCCCAAAGAGUCCAGGACAGACCCCUGCGCGGAGAAGAGCGCAGAACGAGAGGAGCAUGGGGUGCCGGCUGCUGUGGUGGUGCCUCAGCUUUUAUCAGAUACACCUGCGCCAAUAGCCCUGUGGUCUCAGCCUCAGGGUUUUUAAUUCAUCCUAAAGAUUGUUUUGUAGCGCCAUAUGACAAGUGUGAUGGCUGACUGUACUGUCCACUAAGUGCAGAGAUGGUCAGCGCAGAUGUCCCAAAGCCAGAGUAGAUGGAUGGUCGGAGGAGUCGGCAAUUCCUGAAGCGUCUUUUCUAACAGCUACGGACGUGACAUCUGGAAUGUGUCAAUAAGGACCAGGCAGGAAAACACGAUCCUCUCAACAUGGAGAUUUGAUGAUAUAGGUGUUGGAAGGAGUCAAAGAGCAAGAGGAGCUAGCAGUACUGUGCGGGGAUUAGCAUCUAUAGUGUUCUUGUGUUUAGGGCUGGAGACUGAUACAGAGUGGCCAGGAGUAUGGAGGACGGGAGCCCAGAUGGUGCUGAGAUACUGGAGCACCAAGGACAAGGAAACUGCCACAGGUUCAGUCUGGGUGGGAUGGAGAAACCUGUAAAAGCUGUUGUAAGGCCUGUGGCAGAAGGGUAGCAGACAGAGCUCGGAGAAGGAAGAGUUCAUUAGGAAAGGAAAAGCCUUGUCUCCAAUCCUCCUGCCUUCUAACCAUCCAGGAUCGCCCGCCCAGGAAACCAAAUGGGAAGAAUCUAGAAAAAGAGUCAUGUUCUGGGACUCCCAGAGUCAAGGCAGAGCAUGGAGAGGUGGGACCCAGGCUUGGGAUCCGCAGGAGGAUGACAGCCCAGUGGCACAAGGUGGUUUUGCAUCCUGCAGUCUCCUUUGCAGCACAUAACACCUCCAGAGAGUGUCGUUAGUCACAGGGAGCAUGUCUCUCCUUCCUUGGCUAGACUCCUGCCUCUGCUCAUUCUCCAGGCUAAGCUCACCCUUGCCUGACUGUUUCACUUUGUUCAGACUUCUCCUUACCUUUCUCCAGGCUGGGACAGGGGAAGGAGGAGGAACAGGCAACUUGUUGACUUAAUCUGAACCUGUUUGCUUUGUGUUUUUCCUAGCAUGGUGUGUGGAUUGAUUAUAUCUAUAUUUUAUUUUACUUGUUAGCAGAAUGUAAACAAACAGAAGAAAAUCUGCUUUAUUUCGCCUACGGGGAGCCGCCUUGCUUCACCGAGAGACAGCAUGACCGCUCUAGGCGGGCCAUCUGCUCCCUGCUCUUUCGUUAGCUUUGUGGCUCAAAGAACAUGUUCUCUGCCUCAGUUUCCUCACUGGAUUAAAAGAGUCAAGAAGAGUGAGCUUCACUGGUGAUGACCAGUGUUUUUUGGUGAUGAAGCAGAGUCCGACCACAUCCUAACUUGUCUUUUGACUCAGGGGAAUUGAAUGGCUUACUGUUCUGUUACAACCUGAGAGAUACGGGGAAGGGGGAGGGAGGGCUAGGGAUGUUUGAGUGAGCCGCUCAU
Molecule: long non-coding RNA, 4009 nt
Organism: Alexandromys fortis (reed vole)
Lineage: Eukaryota; Metazoa; Chordata; Mammalia; Rodentia; Cricetidae
Exons: 4
Source: RefSeq, a predicted model, not a curated record